UCCGGCGUCGCCCGACCGGGCGACAGCGCGCCGUCUUCGAAGGGCGGCGCCUCGGCCUCGUGUUCGAUCCCCGCGCCGCGC
This 81-nucleotide transfer RNA is filed under the name Phycisphaerae bacterium. RNAcentral describes it as "tRNA-Ser". Lineage: Bacteria; Pseudomonadati; Planctomycetota; Phycisphaerae. The record is from RNAcentral.